GGUAACGUGCGCUUGGAAAAGUUAAUGUUACGAAGAAAAUGGUCCUCAGGUGCGCUUGGGGAACGUGCAAUUCUGAUGAAAGUUAACCCUGCUAUGUUACAAGGUGCCCGCUUGAUUCAUUUUCCAAAGCCUAAAGCACAGUUGACAAAAGUGUCUACGAUGGAUUAGGGCCCGGGGAAGAGCGCACGUACAACAAAAUGUGGACAAUAUCAACAAAUGCAAGGCUGUAUGUUCGAAGCCAAAUCGCAUCCGGAUUUGGGAAUGCAGGCAUAGCACAUGCCGGAGUCGUUCACGGGCAGCAAACAUCUCCGCAAGAAGUCAUUCAACAUCCCAGUAGCUGAAGGAUUGGAUUCGACGGCGAAUUAGUGUGUGGUCACACUCGAGUCUUCACAGAAGGUCAAAAAUGCUGUCUGUAUUUAUUAUUGAUGUAAGACUUCUCGCAAAAUCCUCCAGCUGUGUUUCCAAGCCCUCGCUCCCAAAAAAAGAGAAAGUGGAACAACAUGUGGCGAGCGGCGACGAUGUGGACCGAAACCCAUUUCGAGGGCUGAAAUACCACCGGGCCCUAUCCAAAUAUUUUCUCAGAGUCCCGGCUUCAUUCUGGAGGCAGUUAGCCUUCCCCAACGAGGCUCACAAGAGUGACGCACGGCUCCGACAUUGACUCCCAGGCUGUUUUGGGAUCGUUAAAAGCUAAUUUGUCGGCCUCCGCCGCGAGGGAGACGAAGCCUGAAGCGGUCGCCUAAUGGGACGGCCCACUUGCUCUAAUUACAUUCACGUCGCACGGCUGGGGACCUCGAGGCCGUCCUACCCUGGGUACGAGUUUCAUCUUCAGAGUCACCUGGUCACAUCUUUACCGUUAAUAUUCGCAAGUUGGAAUAUCAACUUCAGAUGCAUGUUGAUGACCUUGAAAGCGCCAGGCCUGCAAGUUCCUCAACAUGAGUCGUAUAGUACGAAGACAAAAGUGAGAUGAGGCAGUUAUUGGAUGGCAGUUAAUCACGCCAAGGGCGGAUUGAGGAGACGAAGUGGACCACAGGGAAAGUUUUUUCCGUUUUCAAUCUGGGCGAUAGCAACAGCAAAACUACUGCCAAAUUAGAGGGAGUCGGAGGAUGUUUUCACCUGGACAGUGACCCCCCAAACACCACACAUACCAUACGCACGCAAAAGUUGUCAUCAGUGUAAAAGUUGAUUUUAUUAUGCCCUUAAAGCACAGUCAAGUUGACAGGAUCAGAAUAGUUCCACUGUUAAAAUGCAUGUUGAAAUAAUUCAUAUUUUAGCCUGUGCAAUUUUUUGCUAUCUAAGAAACAAAAACUAUUACUGUUAUGGCCAUGAUGAAAUCCGAGUUCACGUGUUGCAGCACCAAGGAAGUGGACAACACACCGUCAGUGAGAAUAGACAAAGACAGGCACCGAUACACAGUCACAGUUUGUUUGUUGGGGCAGGGAACGGGCCGGUCUGGGGGUCAGAGGUGACCGAUUUACAGUCAAAUAGGUGACAGAUGGGAAGCAGCGCCGACUUCUUGGACAUAGCGUCGCCACUGUCAGAUGCUGCCGGAAGUUGUCCAAUGUGGGAGUACCAUAUUUUGGCAAUUGCACAGGUCCUUGUAAAGACGAAGAAUUCGUCAACUGCAUAAAAAUCGGGUACCAAGCAAGCGUGAUGGAGGACCAAAACACCAAGAAAAGUUGGAAAAGAUUUGAAUCACCAGUGACAGGCCAAUCAAAAUCCAGGAUACAGAGCAGUUCACGUCAUCGUCAAGAGGGUCAGGCUUUGAAGAUCGGGAAUUUGAUGCAAUGAUCUAUAAUCCUCUGGUGGGAUCUGAGGAAAUACUACUCGGAUUUCACUGUUGACUUCAUCCGCGAUUCACAAGAGCAGAAACUGAGAAACUCACACAAAGUUCAUCAGGCAGAACUCCUGGUCUUUGGUGGAACGGUGGAUUCGGGGUAGGUGGAGGGAGGCUAGCACAGAUGACGGUUGGACGGUCUCACACUCAUUGCACCAUCAACAAUCAAUAGGGAGUGUGUCACUGUGGCGACUUGGACAUGAUUGGCUGUUUGUCAUGACCGAAAUGAUAGACACAAUGGGCCACAAAAUUAAACAUUUCAGUUCUAUGUUUGCAUUGAACUCCAACUAAAGAGGAUUUCUGAUUCUUUUGGCCCUCAACGGGCAAAAAUCUACACCAAAAAAUAUCCUCUGAGUGUGUUUAUACGUCGCCAUCUCAUCAACUGCAGCUCAAAACUCAAACGUCCGCCAGUAACGUUUGACAUUUGCAUGUUGCCUUUCAAAACCUUCACUAUACCUAAUAUUUGAUAAGUAUAUUUUAAGUUUCCUAUUGCCCCAAGAUGGAUUGUCAUCCAGCAUAUGAGAGUCACAGCCUGAGAAUAAAAAACAAAACAAAACAAAGAGUCCACAUCACUUCUUAUCAGUGGGUGUAUGUUGGGCUAAUAUGAAUAGUCUCCAGUAUUCUUGGCUGGCCUAUAUCGAGGGGCACAAUUUAUUCUUCAUUUUUCCAGCAUUUAAGAAUGGUUUUCCUUGGCAGCACUCCAAAAUCCAUCUGUGCUUUGGAACUUGCUGCAAUAUUAAAUUGUCAUUUGGGACUAAAAAGUUUUCAAGCUUGCUUGAAAUUCCCAUUUGUGUUUUGACUCGCUGAUUCUUUUGUCGAGGUGUCGGCUUCUGGUCUUUCUCGCCGCCAGUCGGCAGGAUGAUGACAGCCCUUCCAUUCUUCCCCCUGAUGAUUAUUUUUUGCAUUUACAUAAGAAAGCGCCGGUCAGACCUUGGGCGAGUCCUUUGGCUGGUUUUCACAUGGACUGCUGGUUCACCUUGACUUCUGCUCACAGGGGACGGCUUUGGGGUGUUCGGCUGCAUUUUUAUAAAUCGCACCUGGGGCGGUCUGUUCUUAUUUUAAUCAUGAAAUCCAGAUGCUUCCUUUUCCAGCAGAACAAGCAUCCACCUUCACAAAAUACAAAGUUCCCCGUUUUUGAGAGAAUGUGAUAUUAAAGCUUUCAAGGAACUCGGUUCGUGAAAACGGAGACCAAAUUCCUCCUAAUUGAGCCCGAGGCUUUUUGUUUUGUCAGGAGAUUUAAGAGCAACUGGAGCCAGCUUCUCGCAGGUCUCCUGGGGUGGGAGGUCCCGGCCAGAGUGAAGCAGAGCCACAAGAUCCCAGCAGUCCCCGGCCUCUAAUCCCCGCCGUUAACGGGGGCGGCUGCCCUCUCAUCAGCGUCACCGCCAUCCCUUUGUCGCUGUAUUUCUUCCCCGACAUCCUCUCUAUCAUUUGACUCAUCUCCCGCUUCUUUAUUUGCUGCGGUGUUAUUGUUUCCUCCGCCGUUUCCUUCCCGCUCUUCCCCUUUGACCCCGAACAUCUCCUGUGUGGCACCUCAUCCAAACGUGCCCUACCGGUGUUAUUUUUCUGAAUGUCUAGUCGGUCUACAAUAACGAUGAAAAACUGGGCUUCGGUUUGUCAAUACAUUUUUCUGUCACACGCUUAAACUCGAACUGAUGGAAAGACGGUUGCGCCGGAGGUGUGAGCCCCCCCGAGUAGCAAGAAGGGAAACACCUUGUGACCCGCUCGCUCCCGACCGAGCUUCUACGGGGGCAGGACGACAAAAGUGGGUGAGCACCGAAGAGAAAGUGCUUCAAACUUUGAACUGAUCAGAGUCGAAAGGUCACAAGAGAAACAAUGCUCGCAUCUUUUGACGGGGUAAACAUGAACGAAAGCAUCGGAGAGACCGUCAAUAUUGUUGUGGCAACAAAGACGAUCAACUUGCAAACGCUGGCAUAAUUUCAUCCUGACCAGGCAAAGUCGAGGUCCGCGUGUGGCCGAGAAGCCCAACCGUCUCUCGGGCCAAAUUCAAAUGGACGUUUUGAACACAGAAUUCGGCUUACUUGCGGCCUCUGUAUUUACCUUUCCAGUACAGAUCAAGUUCACAAUGUACCCUGACACAUAUGGUGUCGAAAAUAACUCAGGACAAGUUAUUUAAGGGUAGAAGUUUGACUCGUACUAAGCUAAGUGACCCCAAUAACCUUUCAAACGUUGGAGAUCUUGAUGAUGUUCCACCAGAGUGCGAAUUUAGGAAUAAAAUCCAGAAACAAUGGAGCAGCCUUCUCAAGUCCAACGUGAAUCUGAUUGGGUGGGGUUCUGUGUUGAUGAAGUUUAAGCGUCGUCAGAUGUGAGGAGCUAUACGAAGUCCAUUGUCCUUGGGUUUAAGAGUUGAAUUAAGGACGCCAUGAUUUUAAAGUGCCUUUAAGGGUUCUGUCAUAAAACGAUGGCUAAUUGUCAUUUGCCAGAGAGAAGAAGAAGAGAGCGAAGCGGCACGUUAAUAAGCUGCCGCCUAGCAACCUCCUCAACGGGUGUUGCACCCUCGCACAUUUGGGGCUGUGCCACUGGCUCCGCGGCACGAGCGUGUGACUUCGUCUGGCACGGACGAGUUGGCGCUUAGCGAGGCCGUGCGAAAGCUCUCCCAUCCAAACCCAAUCAGGCGGAAACGCACCUCAGAAAGCAGCGGAGGAGUUCACGUUAUUUUCGUGAUGAAACGCUCGCUGUCCGACUUUGUUACCCGCUUGUUUGGAGUGACGUCUCGCCGUGAUCCUCCGUGGGCCACGCAGCCUUUGAGCUCUGCGAAUGCCGCCGCGUGAUUUGUGGGGUAUCACUGGUCGCAAAUCACAUAAAGGGGAGCGCGUGCGCCGGCAACAAUUUUCACUUCAAACAAUCCUCGCGGCUUCGUCCGUUUUAUCAGCUCCUCUGAUCCCACCGGGGCUGACACGCAGAUAUUAUAAACGGUCCCCGUGCGUCCUUUUGCUCAUUAAAUAUCGUCUGAUACCCCAAACCUUCUGCCUUUGUGUUGAAAAAUAUCAUAACCUUGUCAGAUUCCACGAGGAUGUUUCUUUGAAACUUUUUAAUAUCGAAACCAAAGUGAGUAAAUCUUCCACCACCACCACCUCCGACGGCCGUAAAAGUGACUCGAGGAUCAGCAUCAGGUCUUUAUCUGGCCGCCUAUCAAGACCAUGAUUAGCACGUGAGGAGGUCUUCAGAAGAUAUCCAAGACGAGGCUCUCAUCUGACCAUCUGUUUCUUAUCUCCUUGCUUUUAGUUCUGAAAUCUACACGUUUAUUUGUCCAAGGGACACGAGCGGCAGGCCGCCAAGGGUCUCCCUGGGGGCGGAGGUGGAGGUGGGCCCCCACCUGCUGUGAGAUUGGCUGUCUCGCGACAGUCGCGGCGGGCUGGCUGAGGAGGAGCAAGUGGAGCCGGAAACCGCUUGAGUUUUGCCAGGAUCGCUUUCAAGAGAAAAUUCUUUUCUAUACGGAUGACCGGCGUGUAAAGGAAUGUGGAGAGGAAAAAGGACAAAUUAAAGAACUGUAAAAAGAAGAAGAAGAAAAAACAGACUUCUUGGCCUCCACAUAAGCGGUUCUUGCACAGUUUGCGAUUCAGGGAGGACGGCAUAGUCACAUCUGGAUCUGCAACUCUGGUGAUUUGACCCUAGGGGAGCCAUUUUGAUAGAUUUAAUCCAAAUAUGAUUAAAAAAGAAGAAUUUAAAAUUGCUCAAGGGCGUAGCCAAAAUGAUUUGAGCAACCUCAAUCACCUCAACAAUGGGGAAUAGAAUUAAGAUGAAGCAUAUCUUCAAGUAUUUUGAAAAAUGGAAAUCAGCUUUGCUCAAAUAUGUAUUUAGUCUGGUGGCGCAGCUGGUAAAGCGUUGGCCUCACAGUUCUGAGGUCCCGGGUUCAAUCCUGCAGCCGGACCUGGCUGUGUGGAGUUUGCAUGAUCUCCCCGUGCCUUUGUGGGUUUCGUCCGGGCACUCAUUAAUGCAACAUUAAUUAGACACUCUAAAUUGCCCCUCGGUGUGAUUCUGAGUGUGUCUGUUUGUUUCAAUGUGCCCUGUGAUUGGCUGGCAACCUCUUCAGGGUGUACCCCGCCUCCUGCCAGUUGGCAGCUGGGAUGGGCUCCAGUGCUCCCCGUGACCCUCGUGAGGAUAAGCGAUGAAGAAAAUGGAUGAAUGGAUUUAGUCAGUGCAAGGCUAUCAAAUGGACAACAAAUUGAAGGAAUAAAGGUGGUGUAAUGAUUUUCCCAAGAUUAGAGAUUUAUUUCAAACAUUUUUCAUCCUCGGACCAUUUCUGGUAUGACAAAAAACUGAUGCAAAAAUAUUUUUAGUGUCAAUAUUAUUAAAAGAAAUUAACAGCAGCUCAAAUGAUCAAAACCAACGCAUACAGUCAAAUAAAAGCAAAACCAAAAUAUGUACUUGCUUUUCAAUGGCCUCAACAAAAGCAGCGUCAACGCGAAGUUUCCUUUUGUUUGCGUUUGAAAGCGCCGCGUUUGCGUUGUCUUUCUCAUGGAAAUGAAUCCGCAGGCCGGAGAUUUCAAUCCACGUGCCGCCAUUUCAUCUAAUCUUCAAACACUUUGACGUUCAGAGUCUUCAUAAUGACACUGACGUGACUUUGUACUUGGUAAUAUUUAUUUGAGUUAGGUUUGUUAGGUUAAUCUGUGUUUUUUGCGUGUAAUGGGGCUAAUUGUGAUGCAAAACGUGGUGACUCAAGUCGCGACGUGUCCAGAGAAGGUGGCGAAGUUUCGAUGGACCACGCAGGGCAGACGCAAAAGUGAAAUCAGGAAAAGGUAAUGCGGUGUUUGCUGGACACAUUUUCAAAUUUUCAUUCAAAAAGUCACGAUUUGUGAAAUGUCUCCACACGCGUCAAAUUAACGGCCAUUAAAAUCGAGUUAGGCAUUGCGGCAAUUUGGUACCCAAAACAAAUCCAGAUCGGGUUUGACCUGUCUGAAC
Long non-coding RNA from Syngnathoides biaculeatus (alligator pipefish), 6754 nucleotides. RefSeq lists it as uncharacterized. The transcript has 3 exons. Lineage: Eukaryota; Metazoa; Chordata; Actinopteri; Syngnathiformes; Syngnathidae. The record is from RefSeq and is a predicted model, not a curated record.